This 269-nucleotide ribosomal RNA is filed under the name uncultured Methylohalomonas sp. RNAcentral's name for it is "partial 16S ribosomal RNA". It matches the Rfam family "Bacterial small subunit ribosomal RNA", at positions 1117 to 1382 of the family's 1533-position model. The record is from RNAcentral. Lineage: Bacteria; Pseudomonadati; Pseudomonadota; Gammaproteobacteria; Methylohalomonadales; Methylohalomonadaceae.
ACUAACAGGUAACGACUGAGGACUCUCGGCGGAACUGCCGGUGGACAAACCGGAGGAAGGUGGGGAUGACGUCAAGUCAUCAUGGCCCCUAUGUCCAGGGCUACACACGUGCUACAAUGGGCGAUACAGAGUGACGCGAAGCCGCGAGGUGGAGCAAAUCCCAGAAAACCUGUCUCAGUCCGGAUUGAAGUCUGCAACUCGACUUCAUGAAGGCGGAAUCGCUAGUAACCGCGAAUCAGCAGGUCGCGGUGAAUACGUUCCCGGGCCUU